This 4911-nucleotide long non-coding RNA is filed under the name Sus scrofa (pig). Its description in RNAcentral is "lncRNA (ENSSSCG00050040151.1)". The record is from RNAcentral. Lineage: Eukaryota; Metazoa; Chordata; Mammalia; Artiodactyla; Suidae.
GGCUUUAGGAAUUGGAAAGCUGGCAAACUAAUGGUGGCAGAUACAAGUUUUCCAAAAUUCUAGGUCUUGUUUGAGAGUUCAAAAAUUAUACUGUUGGCAAGAAAUACUUUCAGGUUAUUGUCCCAGAGGCUUUUAUGAUCAUUGACAUAGCAUAUAUCUCUAGGCAUUAGCUUCUAGUUGCAGUUAUGCUUUGAUCUUCUAAAACUUUGUUCAUUUAUGCAAGCAUAUUUAUCAAAAGUACUCAGAUACUUCAAGGGGGAAAAUUACUUCACCUUAUACAAUGAAUAUCAUUAAUAAAAAAUUAAAUAUUUUGCUAUGAUACCAACAACUUUACUUAUUAUUUCUUUUGAGUCCUUAGUGCAAAUGUCAAUAAAAUAAUAAAAGUUAGCUAUGCAAUGUCUUAGUGUUAUUAUACAAAGAGUUUUGACCAUACAGCCCUGUGAAAAGGACUUAGGCAUGAUGAGGUUUCCACAAAACACAAUUUUAGAAUUAUGUUGAAUGACCUCUCCCAUCUAUGGCCUACCUCUUACAAAUUAUGCCACAUAAAAUUCUCCAAACUUCAAUUCCCUCCUGUAAAAUGGAAAUGAUAAUAAAUAUCUCUGAUCUGAUAAAAUUAUUUGAAAAUUUGGGAUUAUCAUAUGUUAAACUCCUGGCAAGGUUGCCGGCACACAGUGAGUACUUGAAAAGUGGUAGCUGUCAUGACCAUUGCCCAAACACAUAGCAUGUUAUUGACAAAGCUAGAACCCAAAAUUCUACUUUCUGAUUCCUUCUCAGAGACUUCCCCAUGACAUCAUGUCACAAGAGCAGAACUAAUUCCCCUGUGGCUGUUUUUACAGCAAAGGGCAAAGUGGCCAAUUCAUUUGAUUCCAGUGAUCUUUCCAGGUAAUGUCCUAGAUGAUGAACAGAAGGUGUUAAGUAGAGUCAUUAAGACUAUGUGUGACCCGUAUUUGCAUCCAUCGUGAAUCAGCUCUGUACUGAGUGACAUCUACAAGUUCUCAUUCUCUGAGCCUCAGGUCUCUCUUCUGUAAAUCUGGAUAAUUAUAGCACCUCACUUAUCAGCUUGCUAUGAGAAUUUAAUGAGAUAAGGUGCAGCGAUUGUAAAGCACCAGCCCAAUGCAAAUGCUCAACAAUGGCUAGCUGCUUGCUAUUAUAACAAUAACAACUAUUCUUAUUAUCUCAUAGCUCAGAUCAACAUCACUUCCUCAGGAAGCAUUUUCUGACCCCCUCAAUAAAAACACCCCAUAUUAAGAUCUUCUCAACCUACUUCAUUGGACUUAAUAUAGUUGCAAUAUAAUAUUUCAAGAUGUGAUUAUCUGAUUGUCAUAUACACUAGACUUUCAACAAAGAGAGGGAUGGGGUCUGUUAGGCUCACCAUUUUUUUCCCCAACACCUGGCCCAGAGCCCAGAACAGAGCAGUUUGCAAUAAAUACCUAUUGAAGGAAUGAGUGAAAGAAUUCUUGUACUAGCCUGGCAACUCAGUUUUACUCCACUCUCUUUUUUAGAUAUAAUGAUGGAACUUCCCCUGGCACUUGUUACUCAAAGCAGGAUCUGUGGGCUGGGAAACCAGCCUAAUCUGGAAGCUAAUUGGCAAUGCAGACUCUCAGACCUCACCCCAGACCUCAAUAUGCACUUGAACAAAAUCCCCAGGUAAUUCAUCUGUACAUCAAAGUUUUAGAAGUGGGUGUGUGUGGGUGUGUGUGUGUGUGUGUGUGUGUGUGUGUGAGAGAGAGAGAGAGAGAGAGAGAGAAGGAGGAGGAGGAGGAAGUUAGGGGAAGAGGAGGGGGAGGAGGUGGAUGGAGGGGGCGGAAAUGAAAGGACAGUCACUAAAUUUCCUGGAUAAAGCCACACCCCCUUCCACAAUUCCAGGUCUCAUUACAUUCCCAAUACAAACAUUACAAAUAUUACCAUUUCUGAAAACCAGCUGCAUUUAAAUUUUUUUCAGCCCCAGCCAAGCUGCUCUUAUUUCCUAUUCAUAUAUGAUUUUUUUCCAGAAGACUAUUUUGGCCUCAGUUGAAUAAUGUAUUUCAGAGACUUUACGUCCUGAAACAUUCUCUGAAGGAGACAGAAACACCAUCUGUGCCCACUCCUGGAAAAACAGCCCCAAACCAAAUGAAGUAAGGGUGUCAUUUUCUUUUACAGAGUUGCAAAAUUUGAAUGCCUGCUUGUCCACCACAACCUCAGAAAGAGGAGAGAAAAGCAUACAUUAAAAUCCUCUCUCCUGCAAUAACACCAAACCAGUCCCACUCCAAAAACCCAAAGAAAUUAUGAAAAUAUGCAUAGUACCCUGCUGACCCUGGAAAAAUUACAGCCUAGCUUUUUUUUAAUGAAAAGGGGUAUUAUUUUUAGAAUUUAUUCCCAUUUUUGAGUUGCAAAGCCCACCAAUCACUGGAUAAUAAAAUGCAAGAACUCAGAGAUUCAGUGAAUGGUUCAUUUGCCUAUGUUCAAUCUUUUUCACUUUGUGGGACCCCAUUUCAAAAUUCCCUUUGCUAGGCUGUCCUAGACUCCCAAAGGAAGAAAUGGGUCCGGCCAGAAGCAACACCCAUUUCACUCAGUUGGGUCCUUUCUCGCUUCAGAGCAAUAAUCUUGGCCAAGCCUGAGUCUGAGAAUUGAUGCUUAUCCAAAGGCAUUUGAAUUUGCUGCUGAUUGUUCUCCCAUUGCUUCCUUUUUUAAAUUUUUUUGUUAAAGUAUAGUUGAUUUGCAGUGCUGUGCCAGUUUCUGCCAUACAGCAUACUGACCAGUCAUACAAAUGUAUACAUUCUUUUUCUCAUACUGUCGUCCAUCAUGGUCUAUCCCAAAAGACUGAAUAUAGUUCCCUGUGCUGUACAGUAGGACCUCAUUGCUUAUCCAUUUUAAAUGGAAUAAUUUGCAUCUACUAACUCCAAAUCUACCAAUCCCACUGCUUCUUACUUUCCUGGGACUUUCCUCUCUCUGUCUGUCUUCCUUCUGCUGCCUACAAAUAUAAGAAAUGCUGCACUAAUAAAGAAACUGUGAAAGUCUAGACAACCCCUCUGGUAUGUCUGUGCCUGGGUCAUGGAGUCCCCUAGGGUCACAGGCAUGGACACAUGCUUAGAAAGUCUGACUAGAGUUAGAGUACAAGAUAGAGAUCUAUCCAUUCUGAAGUCUUGUUGGUCCAGUCUCACCAGCCAAGACGAUAUGCCCAAACGGGGCCUUUUCCCCCAUUCGUAGACACACAAAACUUAGUGUCACUGAUGACUUGGAAGAGGGCAGUUGCCAGCCCAGCUCAGUGCAAUAUAAAGAACCUGGGCUCAGAAUUUGAAUCUUGGCUCUCACACCUGCUACCUAUACCUCCUUGGGAAAAGUGUAUUUUACUAUUUGAGCCUCAUUUUCCUUAUUCAAUUGUUUUUGGUAUAUAAUAGUCCUUUGUGGGGUAUUGUGGGGAUUAAAGGAGAUUUUGUUCCAUAAUGCCUAGUUGCCCUCUGCCUUCCUCACGUCCCUGCAGCAUGGACCAUGGUAGAUUUCCCUGACCCUGAACAUGCUCAUAGGAAGAGAGAAGAAGGAGCAAGUGAAUAAGAGGAAAGGAAUGAGCUCAUGCUUAGCAGCAAGGUGACUUUAAAAAAUGGUUGUCAAAACAGCUUCAGUUCUUGAAGAUGCAGUUAAAAGGAAUUCUCUCUCCAUAUAAAGUCUACCCCAGGCUUGAUUAUUGUUUCAUUUCCCCCAAUAGCUAUUUUAGCAUUAUUUACCUUUUUAAGGGCCUUGGCGCCUCUCCCACACAUUGACUAUUGAAAUAAACUCUACCUGCCAUCUAGACCCUUCAUUUUUGGUCCUAAGCAGCACUGAGGAGGAGGAUUAGCAUGGCAUUUGGACUCCGUCCCAAGAACCCACCUCCUUGCCAUCAUACUUGGGCUGCUUUAUCAGAGAAGCAGUGUCGGAGAGAAACGCUUGAAGAUUGAUGUGGAGUCUGGAAAAGAAGUUUUAAUCCAUGGGACUCUUGUUACCAAGCAAAGACAACCUGUAAAUUGUUGCAGAGAGAAAAGCAGUCUCAAGAUGUCUGUUGGCCGUUUGAGCAGCUGAGUCUAGGCUGAUGUGAUGGCUAACCUCCCAGGGUCCUCUGGAGCUUUGUUGCUAGGGGAAGUUGAUUUACCCAGAGUGAAGACAUGAGGAGAAAGCUGUGAAACCAACUUGAAAGUUAAGGUCAAUUCAGCAGCUACAGGUGCCAUAGAAAUGCUAUUCCUGAUGCUGGCAGAUUUAGGCAUCAUUUUGUUGGAGACGGUCCUACCCACAUCGAAUGUUAUAUUACUUAAAACAUGUCUUUAGACCCUUCAGUUGUUUUAGUAUUCUCACAUCACCAAGAGUCAUCCAACUUUAAUUUUGUGAAAAAUGGCAAGACUUAUUUUUUUUCACCUUUUAAUUUUUUGGACAUAGCUGUGAUAUAUGGAAAUUCCUAGGCCAAGGGUUGAAUCCAAGCCAGAGCUUCUACCUAUACCACCGCUGAGGCAACGCCAAAUCCGUAAGCCACUACACCCAGCCGGAGAUUGAACCUGGGCCUCCACAGAUGAAAGCUGGAUCAUUAACCCACUGUGCCACAGCGAGAACUCCACAGCAAGACUUAUUAUCAUUCCCUAUUUAUCCUGAGACACCCUUUACUUUCUCCAUAUGCUUUCCAACACUGGAAGUAAAGGGCUGAGAAUUCCGUUGCCCACACCAUACCUCAUGGCAAUUAAAUCUACAUCUUUAAGAGGUAGACACAAGCAUCGCAAGUUUGUUUUAAAAGCUUUGCAGGUGAUUCUAACCUGAAAUCAAAUUUGAGAACCAAUCACAGUGUGUACAUGUGGUAGGAGUAGAGGCGAGGAGGGUGGUAGAAUUUGAGUAAACAUCAUACAACCUUGAAAUAACCAGCAAGAUUCAAAGUACUGAUUGAUUCUUGCACUGGGCAACUUAGGGGGACAGUGC